RNAcentral lists this ribosomal RNA (265 nucleotides) under uncultured archaeon. RNAcentral's name for it is "partial 16S ribosomal RNA". It matches the Rfam family "Archaeal small subunit ribosomal RNA", at positions 717 to 982 of the family's 1478-position model. The record is from RNAcentral.
ACACGACUACAUUAGAUACCCCGGGUAGUCCCAGCCCUAAACGAUGCGCGUUAGGUGUAUCGGUGACCACGAGUCACCGAGGUGCCGAAGGGAAACCGUGAAACGUGCCGCCUGGGAAGUACGGUCGCAAGGCUGAAACUUAAAGGAAUUGGCGGGGAGCACCACAACGGGUGGAGCCUGCGGUUUAAUUGGACUCAACGCCGGGAAGCUCACCGGAUAAGACAGCGGAAUGAUUGCCGGGCUGAAGACCCUGCAUGACCAGCUG